UACGGAGGGUGCAAGCGUUGUUCGGAUUCAUUGGGCGUAAAGGGUGCGUAGGCGGCGCGGUAAGUCGGGUGUGAAAUCUUGGAGCUUAACUCCGAAACUGCAUUCGAUACUGCCGUGCUUGAGGACUGGAGAGGAGACUGGAAUUUACGGUGUAGCGGUGAAAUGCGUAGAUAUCGUAAGGAAGACCAGUGGCGAAGGCGGGUCUCUGGACAGUUCCUGACGCUGAGGCAUGAAGGCCAGGGGAGCAAACGGG
This 253-nucleotide ribosomal RNA is filed under the name uncultured bacterium. Its description in RNAcentral is "partial 16S ribosomal RNA". It matches the Rfam family "Bacterial small subunit ribosomal RNA", at positions 524 to 776 of the family's 1533-position model. The record is from RNAcentral.